AAGUCGUAACAAGGUAACCGUAGGUGAACCUGCGGUUGGAUCAUUACAGAAAUGGAGGGGGCCUCGGCCCUGCCUACGCGCCACUGUAAAAGGUGGUCGCGUGGUAAUUCCAAACAUUUUGUGCACUGUUCUGUCUCUGGCGGCGGGGUGAGUGUGAGCGUACGCAAGUGCGUUCAUGGUUGCCUGUCAGUCUGGCGCAAAACCCAGGCCGUGGACAAACCGCCAAUUGUUUAAACGAACAUGUAUUUACAUUUUGAGUCUGAAGUUUACUUGUGUGCAAAAUAUACAAACAACUUUUGGCAACGGAUCUCUUGGCUCUC
This 320-nucleotide unclassified non-coding RNA is filed under the name fungal sp. RNAcentral describes it as "partial internal transcribed spacer region". The stretch from base 1 to 46 matches the Rfam family "Eukaryotic small subunit ribosomal RNA", at positions 1786 to 1831 of the family's 1831-position model. The record is from RNAcentral. Lineage: Eukaryota; Fungi.